Molecule: ribosomal RNA, 253 nt
Filed under: uncultured bacterium
Lineage: Bacteria
Description: partial 16S ribosomal RNA
Rfam family: Bacterial small subunit ribosomal RNA
Source: RNAcentral
UACGGAGGAUGCAAGCGUUAUCCGGAAUGAUUGGGCGUAAAGCGUCCGCAGGUGGCAAUGUAAGUCUGCUGUUAAAGAGUCUAGCUCAACUAGAUAAAAGCAGUGGAAACUACAUAGCUAGAGUACGUUCGGGGCAGAGGGAAUUCCUGGUGUAGCGGUGAAAUGCGUAGAUAUCGAGAGGAACACCUGCGGCGAAGGCGGGUUGCUGGGCUGAUACUGACGCUGAGGCGCGAAAGCCAGGGGAGCGAACGGG